Molecule: ribosomal RNA, 465 nt
Filed under: Vreelandella stevensii
Lineage: Bacteria; Pseudomonadati; Pseudomonadota; Gammaproteobacteria; Oceanospirillales; Halomonadaceae
Description: partial 16S ribosomal RNA
Rfam family: Bacterial small subunit ribosomal RNA
Source: RNAcentral
CCUACGGGCGGCUGCAGUGGGGAAUAUUGGACAAUGAGGGCAACCCUGAUCCAGCCAUGCCGCGUGUGUGAAGAAGGCCCUCGGGUUGUAAAGCACUUUCAGUGAGGAAGAACGCCUGGUGGUUAAUACCCAUCAGGAAAGACAUCACUCACAGAAGAAGCACCGGCUAACUCCGUGCCAGCAGCCGCGGUAAUACGGAGGGUGCGAGCGUUAAUCGGAAUUACUGGGAGUAAAGCGCGCGUAGGUGGCUUGAUAAGCCGGUUGUGAAAGCCCCGGGCUCAACCUGGGAACGGCAUCCGGAACUGUCAAGCUAGAGGGCAGGAGAGGAAGGUAGAAUUCCCGGUGUAGCGGUGAAAUGCGUAGAGAUAGGGAGGAAUACCAGUGGCGAAGGCGGCCUUCUGGACUGACACUGACACUGAGGUGCGAAAGCGUGGGUAGCAAACAGGAUUAGAUACCCCGGGAGUC